RNAcentral lists this ribosomal RNA (105 nucleotides) under Escherichia coli. The record is from RNAcentral. Lineage: Bacteria; Pseudomonadati; Pseudomonadota; Gammaproteobacteria; Enterobacterales; Enterobacteriaceae.
UAGCGCGGUGGUCCUACCUGACCCCAUGCCGAACUCAGAAGUGAAACGCCGUAGCGCCGAUGGUAGUGUGGGGUCUCCCCAUGCGAGAGUAGGGAACUGCCAGGC